Molecule: long non-coding RNA, 670 nt
Organism: Myotis myotis
Lineage: Eukaryota; Metazoa; Chordata; Mammalia; Chiroptera; Vespertilionidae
Exons: 2
Source: RefSeq, a predicted model, not a curated record
CCCAGGCAUGUGUCCUUGGCUGGAAUCAAACCUGGGACCCUUCAGUCCGCAGGCUGAUGCUCUAUCCACUGAGCCAAACCAGCUAGGGCUAUAGAGUAUUUUUAAUAAUUAUAUGGGUAGGUGGACGCACAAACAACUUGGAGUAUAAAAAGCCAUGACAAAAACUAUGAGAAACUGAUUUUUGUACUAUCAUAAAUAAAGCAGAGGAGUAAAAGAAUUAGGUUACUGGUUUGAUUCCCGGUUAGGGCGUGUACAGAGGAUGGAUGUUUCUCUCUCACAUCAAUGUCUCCCUCCUACAGAUUCAUAGCCAGCAGUUGAAACAGAGUAAAGCUGAAGUGUGCUGGUAAAUGCUUAGAUCCUGCAGUUUGUGUUCAUUUAUCAGAUGAUCUAUCCUGUGACUUCCUGGCUUGCUCAGGAAGACAUGCUGGGGAAAUGAUCGAGAAAAGUUUUCAUUACUCUCAAAGCCAAGGGGAUGGUAAUUGGGAGAAGCAAGAGACUAAAAGAAUGGAUAAAAUGUUAGUGUUGAUUUGGAAAAUGGGCAGUUAAAGUUGGGUUUAUGGGAAUUCCCUGAAGAUAUUGCCAGUUUGAUUCCAGACCACUGCAAUAAAGCAAGCAUUACAGUAAAGGCAGUCGUAAUCUUUUUUAUUAUGGUUGAGGGUCUUGCCUUCAA